UACAGAGGGUGCGAGCGUUAAUCGGAAUUACUGGGCGUAAAGCGUGCGUAGGUGGACAAGUGUGUCGGCUGUGAAAUACCCGAGCUUAACUUGGGAUGGUCAGUCGAAACUGCUUGUCUAGAGUACAAUAGAGGAAAGUAGAAUUUCCGGUGUAGCGGUGAAAUGCGUAGAUAUCGGAAGGAAUACCAGUGGCGAAGGCGACUUUCUGGAUUGAUACUGACACUGAGGCACGAAAGCGUGGGGAGCAAACAGG
This 253-nucleotide ribosomal RNA is filed under the name uncultured bacterium. Its description in RNAcentral is "partial 16S ribosomal RNA". It matches the Rfam family "Bacterial small subunit ribosomal RNA", at positions 524 to 776 of the family's 1533-position model. The record is from RNAcentral.